This is a long non-coding RNA of Trichosurus vulpecula (common brushtail), 565 nucleotides long. RefSeq lists it as uncharacterized. Lineage: Eukaryota; Metazoa; Chordata; Mammalia; Diprotodontia; Phalangeridae. The record is from RefSeq and is a predicted model, not a curated record. The transcript has 4 exons.
CACAAGCUGGGGCUAGGCCAGCAUACUGGGAUUCCAGGAAAUUCUAAAUGCACCUCAGAGAGCUCAUUGGCCUGGCCCCUUUUUUGAGACAAGAGGCUCAAGGUCACCGGUCUUGUCCUGAAAUGGAGACUUGGAGGAAGGCACAGAGAUAGCACCCCAGGUCACACAGUUGGCCUGAAGCAAAGCCACCUUGGGAAGGCAUGACCCCCUGGUCCCAGUUUUCUGUCCACAGACCAGUUUUAAGAUAAGGAGAAAUUAGAGCUCCAUGGGCUAGGCUCCAUGAUUCCUCCUUGGAAUUCCUGGACAGCAUGGCUGAGAUGUAGUCUUAAGAAUGCCUUCCUUCAGCACCUGGGGACCUUCUCUCCUUGGAGAAAUCAUUUUCCCCUGAGACCUUCUCCGCCUGGAACAUCCCUCUGCCAUGGAGACUCCUUCUUGGACUUAGCUGGACCAGAGUCGAAGGCUCAGGAAAUGAAGUCAUCAUCAGAACGGAGGCCUAACAAUCGGAGACUAGUAAUAACAGUAAUAAUCACAAUCACAAUAAGGAUGACAAUAAUAAUAUAAUAAA